RNAcentral lists this ribosomal RNA (244 nucleotides) under uncultured bacterium. Its description in RNAcentral is "partial 16S ribosomal RNA". It matches the Rfam family "Bacterial small subunit ribosomal RNA", at positions 90 to 334 of the family's 1533-position model. The record is from RNAcentral.
CGUGAGCGGCGGACGGGUGAGUAACGCGUGGGUAACCUGCCUCAUACAGGGGGAUAACAGUUGGAAACGGCUGCUAAUACCGCAUAAGCGCACAGUACCGCAUGGUACGGUGUGAAAAACUCCGGUGGUAUGAGAUGGACCCGCGUCUGAUUAGGUAGUUGGUGGGGUAACGGCCUACCAAGCCGACGAUCAGUAGCCGACCUGAGAGGGUGACCGGCCACAUUGGGACUGAGACACGGACCAA